RNAcentral lists this ribosomal RNA (312 nucleotides) under uncultured Psychromonas sp. RNAcentral's name for it is "bacterial SSU rRNA". It matches the Rfam family "Bacterial small subunit ribosomal RNA", at positions 30 to 334 of the family's 1533-position model. The record is from RNAcentral. Lineage: Bacteria; Pseudomonadati; Pseudomonadota; Gammaproteobacteria; Alteromonadales; Psychromonadaceae.
AUUGAACGCUGGCGGCAGGCUUAACACAUGCAAGUCGAAACGGAAACAGAAGGUAGCUUGCUACUUUGCUGUCGAGUGGCGGACGGGUGAGUAAUGCUUGGGAACAUGCCUUUAGGGUAGGGGACAACAGUUGGAAACGACUGCUAAUACCGCAUAAUAUCUUCGGAUCAAAGUGGGGGACCUUCGGGCCUCACGUCUAGAGAGUGGCCCAAGUGGGAUUAGCUAGUUGGUAAGGUAAUGGCUUACCAAGGCGACGAUCCCUAGCUGGUCUUAGAGGAUGACCAGCCACACUGGAACUGAGACACGGUCCAG